RNAcentral lists this ribosomal RNA (252 nucleotides) under uncultured bacterium. RNAcentral's name for it is "partial 16S ribosomal RNA". It matches the Rfam family "Bacterial small subunit ribosomal RNA", at positions 524 to 776 of the family's 1533-position model. The record is from RNAcentral.
GACAGAGGAUGCAAGCGUUAUCCGGAAUGAUUGGGCGUAAAGCGUCUGUAGGUGGCUUUUAAGUCUGCCGUCAAAUCCCAGGGCUUAACCCUGGACAGGCGGUGGAAACUACCAAGCUGGAGUACGGUAGGGGCAGGAGGGAAUUUCCGGUGGAGCGGUGAAAUGCGUAGAGAUCGGAAAGAACACCGGUGGCGAAGGCGGGUCUCUGGGCCGUAACUGACGCUGAGGAGCGAAAGCAUGGGAGCGAACAGG